GCCCAGCUAGCUCAGUCGGUAGAGCAUGAGACUCUUAAUCUCAGGGUCGUGGGUUCGAGUCCCUCGCUGGGCG
Molecule: transfer RNA, 73 nt
Filed under: Camelus bactrianus (Bactrian camel)
Lineage: Eukaryota; Metazoa; Chordata; Mammalia; Artiodactyla; Camelidae
Also listed under: 2 other names
Rfam family: tRNA
About the family: Transfer RNA (tRNA) molecules are approximately 80 nucleotides in length.
Source: Rfam by way of RNAcentral